CGUAGGGGGCGAGCGUUGUCCGGAUUUAUUGGGCGUAAAGAGCUCGUAGGCGGUUCGGUAAGUCGGCUGUGAAAUCUCCACGCUCAACGUGGAGGGGUCAGUCGAAACUGCCGUGACUCGAGUCCGGUAGAGGAGUGUGGAAUUCCCGGUGUAGCGGUGAAAUGCGCAGAGAUCGGGAGGAACACCCGUAGCGAAGGCGGCACUCUGGGCCGGUACUGACGCUGAGGAGCGAAAGCGUGGGGAGCAAACAGGAUUAGAUACCCUGGUAGUCCACGCCGUAAACGUUGGGCACUAGGUGUGGGGCUCUAUCGACGGGUUCCGUGCCGUAGCUAACGCAUUAAGUGCCCCGCCUGGGGAGUACGGCCGCAAGGCUA
This 374-nucleotide ribosomal RNA is filed under the name uncultured organism. RNAcentral describes it as "bacterial SSU rRNA". It matches the Rfam family "Bacterial small subunit ribosomal RNA", at positions 526 to 896 of the family's 1533-position model. The record is from RNAcentral.